Molecule: RNA transcript, 1539 nt
Organism: Oreochromis niloticus (Nile tilapia)
Lineage: Eukaryota; Metazoa; Chordata; Actinopteri; Cichliformes; Cichlidae
Gene name: myelin expression factor 2
Exons: 6
Source: RefSeq, a predicted model, not a curated record
UACCAGCAGACUGAGAGACAGCUUUUUCCAUCAGGCCAUCAGACUGCUGAACACGUCAUAGACACCUCACCCUCACUACUGGAACUUCAACAUUAUGCACUCCAUACUGUACAUAAUUCUCUACAGUAUUGAUUAGAGUUCAGGUUCACUUGUUCUACAGCUGAACUGCUGUAUGAAAAACAUUCUCACAACAUUUAGCCCUGUCAAAGCGCUUUCAAGGAAGUGGGUGUUAAAGUCUACAGUCAAUAUUUUUUAAUCACAUCACCUUCGGUUAACAUCAAGGUCCAAACAAUCAAGAACCUGAAUAUCAGAUUAGACUUAGAAACCAAGAUAAAAGUGUGGAGAAGGAAAGAAAUCAUCCAAAGCAUUAUCUAUCAAACAUGGUUCAGUUUUUUGGCAUUUUAUGGCUGCCAGUGGAAUCUGGCCAUUAGUGUUUAUUGAUGACGUGACUGUCGAUAGAAGUAGCAGGACGAAUUCUGAAGUGUAUAGGACUAUACUCUCUGCUCAGAUUCAGACAAAUACUGUGAAACUGAUUGGACAGUGUUCAUAGUGCACAUGAAUGAUGACCCAAAGCAUACUGCAAGAGUGACCCAAGAGUUUCUUGAGGCAAAGAAAUUGGAUAUUCUUCCAUUGCCAAGUCAGCGACCUAAUCUCAAACCAACAGAGUUGGCUCCAGCGUCCAGUUCAGUUGUGAUGACAGCUACGUACUACAGGGAUCCAAAAGUAUCACCUGUCAACGAGUCACUGACACACUGGCAGCCUGGAGUGACCACAGACCCAUCUGCAGAACUCGUACCUGUGGCAGUAACCUAAGAGGACCCAGAGGGGUCAUAACUUCUCCCAACUACCCUGUUCAAUAUGAGAACAAUGCCCACUGUGUGUGGGUCAUCACUGCAAUGGACGCUGAGAAGGUGGCGGAAUGGGGAAUAUGUCGAUGGACCGAAUGGGCUCCAGCUUUGACCGUUUGGGAAUGUCAGGAAUGGACAUGAACCAUGGCUUUGGUGGCUAUGGCGGCGGGGGCCGGGCCACAUGGGUGGAGGCAUGUCGGACAGAGGGUCAGGGUCCAAAGCAGGUUGCCAGAUAUUUGUGCGCAAUCUGUCCUAUGAUUUGACAUGGCAAAAACUGAAAGACAAGUUCAGUCACUGUGGUCAGGUAAUGUUUGCAGAAAUCAAGAUGGAGAAUGGAAAGUCGAAGGGAUGCGGAACGGUGAGAUUCGACUCUCCAGAGAGUGCCGAGAAGGCCUGCAGGAUGAUGAAUGGAACCAAGAUAAAUGGCCGAGAGGUGGACGUCCGUAUUGAUCGGAACGCCUAGAUCCUUUGUAGAAGUGAAGCUAACACGUACACUUUCAGUCCCCUUGCCAAUGAUCUUUUGUUUUGUUUUAAAAACAUAAUUACUGCAUAUCGUCACGUGUUCAAUGUUUCUUUCUUUCGUCCUUUUUUGUUUGUUAAUGUAAACUACAUAGCUAUUUUCUUUGUUUUAUAAACCCUUUUUAAUUUGUGAGACAGUUUAUUUGACCAAAUAAAGUUUGUAAUUUUUAAA